UACGUAGGGGGCGAGCGUUGUCCGGAGUUACUGGGCGUAAAGCGCACGCAGGCGGUCUGCUAAGUUUGGAGUGACAGUUGGUGGCUUAACUGCCAAAGUGCUUCGAAAACUGACAGACUUGAGGGCUUCAGAGGGACACGGAAUUCCGGGUGGAGUGGUGAAAUGCGUAGAGAUCCGGAGGAACACCAAAGGCGAAGGCAGUGUCCUGGGGAGUACCUGACGCUGAGGUGCGAAAGCGUGGGGAGCAAACAGG
Molecule: ribosomal RNA, 253 nt
Filed under: uncultured bacterium
Lineage: Bacteria
Description: partial 16S ribosomal RNA
Rfam family: Bacterial small subunit ribosomal RNA
Source: RNAcentral